RNAcentral lists this ribosomal RNA (460 nucleotides) under uncultured bacterium. RNAcentral describes it as "partial 16S ribosomal RNA". It matches the Rfam family "Bacterial small subunit ribosomal RNA", at positions 338 to 795 of the family's 1533-position model. The record is from RNAcentral.
CCUACGGGAGGCAGCAGUGAGGAAUAUUGGUCAAUGGGCGCAAGCCUGAACCAGCCAAGUCGCGUGAGGGAUGACGGUCCUAUGGAUUGUACACCUCUUUUGUCGGGGAGCAAGGCCCGCCACGUGUGGCGGGAAGGAGAGUACCCGAAGAAAAAGCAUCGGCUAACUCCGUGACAGCAGCCGCGGUAAUACGGAGGAUGCGAGCGUUAUCCGGAUUUAUUGGGUUUAAAGGGUGCGUAGGCGGAAGGUUAAGUCAGCGGUCAAAUGUCGGUGCUCAACACCGGCCUGCCGUUGAAACUGGUCUUCUUGAGUGAGCGAGAAGUAUGCGGAAUGCGUGGUGUAGCGGUGAAAUGCAUAGAUAUCACGCAGAACUCCGAUUGCGAAGGCAGCAUACCGGCGCUCAACUGACGCUGAGGCACGAAAGCGUGGGGAUCGAACAGGAUUAGAUACCCUUGUAGUC